RNAcentral lists this ribosomal RNA (275 nucleotides) under uncultured bacterium. RNAcentral's name for it is "partial 16S ribosomal RNA". It matches the Rfam family "Bacterial small subunit ribosomal RNA", at positions 79 to 354 of the family's 1533-position model. The record is from RNAcentral.
AAGCGGGAGCGACUUAGCGGCGGACGGGUGAGUAACGCGUGGGUAACCUGCCCCAUACCGGGGGAUAACGGUUAGAAAUGACCGCUAAUACCGCUUAAGCGCACGAGGCCGCAUGGCCGCGCGCGAAAAACUCCGGUGGUAUGGGAUGGGCCCGCGUCUGAUUAGCUAGUUGGCGGGGUAAAGGCCCACCAAGGCGACGAUCAGUAGCCGACCUGAGAGGGUGGCCGGCCACAUUGGGACUGAGACACGGCCCAAACUCCUACGGAAGGCAGCAG